AUUGAACGCUGGCGGCAUGCUUUACACAUGCAAGUCGAACGGUAGCAGGUUAAGCUGACGAGUGGCGAACGGGUGAGUAAUGCAUCGGAACGUGCCCGAUCGUGGGGGAUAACGCAGCGAAAGCUGCGCUAAUACCGCAUACGAUCUGAGGAUGAAAGCGGGGGACCGUAAGGCCUCUCGCGAUCGGAUCGGCCGAUGUCAGAUUAGGUAGUGGGUGGGGUAAAGGCUCACCAAGCCGACGAUCUGUCGCUGGUCUGAGAGGAAGACCAGCCACACUGGGACUGAGACACGGCCCAGACUCCUACGGGAGGCAGCAAUGGGGAAUUUUGGACAAUGGGCGCAAGCCUGAUCCAGCAAUGCCGCGUGCAGGAAGAAGGCCUUCGGGUUGUAAACUGCUUUUGUACGGAGCGAAAAGGCUCUCUCUAAUACAGGGGGCUCAUGACGGUACCGUAAGAAUAAGCACCGGCUAACUACGUGCCAGCCGCCGCCGUAA
This 493-nucleotide ribosomal RNA is filed under the name uncultured bacterium. RNAcentral describes it as "partial 16S ribosomal RNA". It matches the Rfam family "Bacterial small subunit ribosomal RNA", at positions 30 to 523 of the family's 1533-position model. The record is from RNAcentral.